This 298-nucleotide ribosomal RNA is filed under the name Alexandrium margalefii. RNAcentral describes it as "partial Bacterial small subunit ribosomal RNA". It matches the Rfam family "Bacterial small subunit ribosomal RNA", at positions 94 to 392 of the family's 1533-position model. Lineage: Eukaryota; Dinophyceae; Gonyaulacales; Pyrocystaceae. The record is from RNAcentral.
ACCGGCGCACGGGUGCGGAACGCGUAUGGAACCUGCCCCUGUCAGGGGAAUAGCCCAGGGAAACUUGGAUUAAUGCCCCAUGGUACCGUUAUAUCGCAUGAUAUUUCGGUUAAAGAUUUAUCGGACAGGGAUGGCCAUGCGUACCAUUAGUUAGUUGGUGGGGUAACGGCCCACCAAGGCAGCGAUGGUUAGGGGCCCUGAGAGGGGGAUCCCCCACACUGGUACUGAGACACGGACCAGACUCCUACGGGAGGCAGCAGUGAGGAAUAUUGGACAAUGGGCGGGAGCCUGAUCCAGC